GCAGGGAAAAGUCUGCCCACAGGAAGUCAGCGGAGGUCCAUUCCCACCUGGCUGACCUGGUGGAAGGAGGUGAGGUGAAAGAUGCACCUUCAGCAGUGUUGGCAGACACAACUCACAGCUCGUGACACCAGGAUGGAGUCAUCACACCCUGGUCUGCCCAGCACCACCAUAUAGUAGGCUUUCUUGAGAGCAUGAGAAACACCUUCAAACUUUAACUUCAUGAAAACAGAAAAGAGAAAUGCAAGAAGAGCAAGGAUUUAUGCUGGGUUUAAUCCAGGGAUCAGAGUAGAAAUGCAGAGAAUGAGAAGAAAAGGAGAAGCAAGAAAGGAGGCAGUAGGUGAGAGGAGAGAAGUAGGAGGCGAUUCCUAUCAUCAGGAAUGACAAGCAGACAGGGGAAAGCAGGAGUGCUCACCUCAACCUUCAGACCGGCCUGGAAGCUGAU
This is a non-coding RNA of Heterocephalus glaber (naked mole-rat), 442 nucleotides long. The record is from RefSeq and is a predicted model, not a curated record. NCBI's taxonomy places the organism in Eukaryota, Metazoa, Chordata, Mammalia, Rodentia, Bathyergidae.